This 734-nucleotide long non-coding RNA is filed under the name Olea europaea subsp. europaea. The record is from RNAcentral. Lineage: Eukaryota; Viridiplantae; Streptophyta; Magnoliopsida; Lamiales; Oleaceae.
CUGGAAUUGAAGGCUUAAAAUUAUGUUGUAUAAAUAAAAAAUGGAAACACUCAAUUAAAUUGCAAAUCUCGUCAGUAAAAACUAAAAAGAGAACAUAAUAAAUAUAGUGAAAGAAUAUAUCUUUCAAAUUAUUUGUGAUAUAUUUGUACAUCAUAGGUAGUUACAAAAAUUGCGUUAAGCAAAACUAUAAAUGGUGUGAUCAAAUAAAAUGCAGAACGAAACAUGCGUUGACAUUAUUUACGGUGUUUCCGUAAAGCAUAGGUAGUAAUAUAUGUAGCCUAGGUUUGAAAUGCUUGAGAUAGUACUACUGUCGUAGUUUUAUCUCCUGCAAAGUGAAAAUUUCUAUAUUUAAUGCGUUGCCUUCAUUUUUUGCACUGCAUAUAUGGGAUGACAUACUUGUGAACUAGGUGUCAGCUUGAUAUUACUUCAAAUUGCUUUCUUUCCGUCAAUACUAAAUGUUGUAGUCCUCCAUAACAUGCUUUCAAAUAGGGAAUUUCAUUUCUGUACAGAAGCAGUUUGUUUCAGUAGAACCACUUCUAAUAGUUUCCUCUUGGAAUUAGGUAGUUGUUUUCAUAUUAUGGUAGUUUCAUCUCUUGCAAAGUGGAACUUCAAACUGGUUUCGUUGCUUUAAUAGUAUCUUUUGUAGUCCUCGUCAACGUGCUUUCAAAUAAGGAGUCACUUCAUCCUUGACGCCAACUUUAUUAAAUUGUGGAGAAACUAGGCUUACUUUCGAG